This 76-nucleotide transfer RNA is filed under the name Alphaproteobacteria bacterium. RNAcentral describes it as "tRNA-Thr". It matches the Rfam family "tRNA". From Rfam's summary of the family: Transfer RNA (tRNA) molecules are approximately 80 nucleotides in length. Their secondary structure includes four short double-helical elements and three loops (D, anti-codon, and T loops). Further hydrogen bonds mediate the characteristic L-shaped molecular structure. tRNAs have two regions of fundamental functional importance: the anti-codon, which is responsible for specific mRNA codon recognition, and the 3' end, to which the tRNAs corresponding amino acid is attached (by aminoacyl-tRNA synthetases). tRNAs cope with the degeneracy of the genetic code in two manners: having more than one tRNA (with a specific anti-codon) for a particular amino acid; and 'wobble' base-pairing, i.e. permitting non-standard base-pairing at the 3rd anti-codon position. Lineage: Bacteria; Pseudomonadati; Pseudomonadota; Alphaproteobacteria. RNAcentral also lists the same sequence under 8 other names. The record is from RNAcentral.
GCCCUAAUAGCUCAAUUGGUAGAGCAACUGAUUUGUAAUCAGUAGGUUUGCGGUUCAAGUCCGUAUUAGGGCACCA